This 433-nucleotide ribosomal RNA is filed under the name uncultured bacterium. RNAcentral's name for it is "partial 16S ribosomal RNA". It matches the Rfam family "Bacterial small subunit ribosomal RNA", at positions 29 to 507 of the family's 1533-position model. The record is from RNAcentral.
AACGAACGCUGGCGGCAUGCCUAACACAUGCAAGUCGAACGAGACCUUCGGGUCUAGUUGCGCACGGGUGCGUAACGCGUGGGAACCUGCCCUUAGGUUCGGAAUAACUCCCCGAAAGGGGUGCUAAUACCGGAUAAUGUCUUCCGACCAAAGAUUUAUCGCCUUUGGAUGGGCCCGCGUUGGAUUAGCUAGUUGGUAGGGUAAAAGCCUACCAAGGCGACGAUCCAUAGCUGGUCUGAGAGGAUGAUCAGCCACACUGGGACUGAGACACGGCCCAGACUCCUACGGGAGGCAGCAGUGGGGAAUAUUGGACAAUGGGCGAAAGCCUGAUCCAGCAAUGCCGCGUGAGUGAUGAAGGCCUUAGGGUUGUAAAGCUCUUUUACCCGGGAUGAUAAUGACAGUACCGGGAGAAUAAGCGCCGGCUAACUCCGUG